RNAcentral lists this ribosomal RNA (398 nucleotides) under uncultured bacterium. Its description in RNAcentral is "bacterial SSU rRNA". It matches the Rfam family "Bacterial small subunit ribosomal RNA", at positions 28 to 417 of the family's 1533-position model. The record is from RNAcentral.
GACGAACGCUGGCGGCGUGCUUAACACAUGCAAGUCGAGCGAGAGCCAGCUGAGGGGUAACCCUCGGCUGGGGACAGCGGCGAACGGGUGCGUAACACGUGGGCAACCUGCCCCUGACACUGGGAUAACCCCGGGAAACCGGAGCUAAUACCGGAUACUCUCGGCCGAUCACAUGGCUGGCCGAGGAAAGGUCCGCCGGUCAGGGAUGGGCCCGCGGCCUAUCAGCUUGUUGGUGAGGUAACGGCCCACCAAGGCGACGACGGGUAGCUGGUCUGAGAGGACGACCAGCCACACUGGAACUGAGAUACGGUCCAGACUCCUACGGGAGGCAGCAGUGGGGAAUAUUGCACAAUGGGCGAAAGCCUGAUGCAGCGACGCCGCGUGAGGGAUGAAGGCCU